CCCUGGGUAGUGUAAAGAGUUAAGCACUUGGCUACCAACCAAAUGGUUGGUGGUUCAAAUCCACCCAGAGGUG
RNAcentral lists this transfer RNA (73 nucleotides) under Loxodonta africana (African savanna elephant). It matches the Rfam family "tRNA". Rfam says of the family: Transfer RNA (tRNA) molecules are approximately 80 nucleotides in length. The record is from Rfam by way of RNAcentral. Lineage: Eukaryota; Metazoa; Chordata; Mammalia; Proboscidea; Elephantidae.